UGGGGAAUAUUGCACAAUGGGCGCAAGCCUGAUGCAGCCAUGCCGCGUGUGUGAAGAAGGCCUUCGGGUUGUAAAGCACUUUCAGCGAGGAGGAAGGUGGUGAGCUUAAUACGCUCAUCAAUUGACGUUACUCGCAGAAGAAGCACCGGCUAACUCCGUGCCAGCAGCCGCGGUAAUACGGAGGGUGCAAGCGUUAAUCGGAAUUACUGGGCGUAAAGCGCACGCAGGCGGUUUGUUAAGUCAGAUGUGAAAUCCCCGGGCUCAACCUGGGAACUGCAUUUGAAACUGGCAAGCUAGAGUCUCGUAGAGGGGGGUAGAAUUCCAGGUGUAGCGGUGAAAUGCGUAGAGAUCUGGAGGAAUACCGGUGGCGAAGGCGGCCCCCCUGGANGAAGACUGACGCUCAGGUGCGAAAGCGUGGGGCAGCAAACAGGAUUAGAUACCCUGGUAGUCCACGCUGUAAACGAUGUCGAUUUUGGAGGUUGUGCCCUUGAGGCGUGGCUUCCGGAGCUAACGCGUUAAAUCGACCGCCUGGGGAGUACGGCCGCAAGGUUAAAACUCAAAUGAAUUGAC
Molecule: ribosomal RNA, 570 nt
Filed under: uncultured bacterium
Lineage: Bacteria
Description: partial 16S ribosomal RNA
Rfam family: Bacterial small subunit ribosomal RNA
Source: RNAcentral